Molecule: non-coding RNA, 207 nt
Organism: Oryza glumipatula
Lineage: Eukaryota; Viridiplantae; Streptophyta; Magnoliopsida; Poales; Poaceae
Source: Rfam
AAAGACUCAAUUCCUAAGUUUCCGUAUCUAACGUUUAACUAUCCGUUUUAUAUGAAAUUUUUUUAUAAUUAGUAUUUUUAUUGUUGUUAAAUGAUAAAACAUGAAUAAUAUUUUAUGCGUGAUUUAUCUUUUUAAUUUUUUUCAUAAUUUUUUUAAAUAAGAUGAACGGUUAAAGGUUGAACACGAAAACCUAGGAAUUGAGUUAUU